UUGAGAUCCUUUCUGUAGCGUCGUAAUCUCUUGCUCAGUAAACGAAAAAACCGCCCAGCAAGGCGGUUUUUCGAAGGUUCUCAGAGCUGCAACUCUUUGAACCGUGGUAACUGGCUUAUGAGGAGCGCAGUAACCAAAUCUGUUCUUUCAGUUUAGCCUUAACAGGCGCAUAACUUCAAGACUAACUCCUCUAAAUCAGUUACCAGUGGCUGCUGCCAGUGGCGCUUUGUCGUGUCUUUCCGGCUUGGACUCAAGUCGAUAGUUACCGGAGAAGACGCAGCGGUCGGACUGAACGGGGGGUUCGUGCAUACAGUCCAGCUUGGAGCGAACUGCCUACCCGGAACUGAGUGUCAGGCGUGGAAUGAGAUAAACGCGGCCAUAACAGCGGAAUGACACCGGUAAACCGAAAGGCAGGAACAGGAGAGCGCACGAGGGAGCCACCAGGGGGAAACGCCUGGUAUCUUUAAGUCCUGUCGGGUUUCGCCACCACUGAUUUGAGCGUCAGAUUCUGUGAUGCUUGUCAGGGGGGCGGAGCCUAUGGAAAA
This 545-nucleotide non-coding RNA is filed under the name Escherichia coli. The record is from RNAcentral. Lineage: Bacteria; Pseudomonadati; Pseudomonadota; Gammaproteobacteria; Enterobacterales; Enterobacteriaceae.